RNAcentral lists this non-coding RNA (148 nucleotides) under Nomascus leucogenys (northern white-cheeked gibbon). Lineage: Eukaryota; Metazoa; Chordata; Mammalia; Primates; Hylobatidae. The record is from Rfam by way of RNAcentral.
GCCAGGCAUGGUGGCGCACACCUGUAGUCCCAGCUACUCAGGAGGCUGAGGUGGGAGGAUCACUUGAGACCAGGAAGUCGAGGCUGCAGUGAGCUAUAAUCAUGCCACUGCACUCCAGCCUGGGCAACAGAGUGAGACCCUGUCUUCA